Non-coding RNA from Petromyzon marinus (sea lamprey), 488 nucleotides. Lineage: Eukaryota; Metazoa; Chordata; Hyperoartia; Petromyzontiformes; Petromyzontidae. The record is from RefSeq and is a predicted model, not a curated record.
GGCUUUAUGGCUUCAGGUUGCUGCUGUCUGCUGCUGCUUAAUAAAGAGACGAAAACAAAGAGCCGGCCACUGUGGAGGUGGUGGAUGGAGGAGGUCGCUAAACGGCUGUAUGGACCAGACACCACCAAGAAUCCCACGUCUCUCUCGUCCCAAUUUAGAUACGUCUAUAACAUAUACCCCAUUAACAUUCUGAGAUGUUCAUAUUCCAGUGUUCUGUUAACAUGGUGCGUAUUUUAAGAAUGUUCAAGUGGCGUUGAAUAUUGAAAGGUAAUUUAUCAUAAGUUCUGUAUUGGUCACAGAAAAAUUACAUUUCAGAAAAUGUUUGACAAAAAAUAAUUAGUAAUGAUUAAUGUAAUUUCAUGAGUUACAUUAUGUACUGUAGUUAUUUAAGAAACGAAAAAUGCUAAUAGCGUCUCUAAUGCGUAUUGUUAAAUGUUCAGUUAUUGCUUCCAUAUCCAUCAGUGCAAUAAAGCAGUAACUUUUGCCAU